UAGUCCACGCCCUAAACGAUGUCAACUAGACGUUGGGCUCAUAUAGGAGCUUAGUGUCGAAGCUAACGCGUUAAGUUGACCGCCUGGGGAGUACGGCCGCAAGGUUGAAACUCAAAGGAAUUGACGGGGGCCCGCACAAGCGGUGGAGCAUGUGGUUUAAUUCGAUGCAACGCGUAAGAACCUUACCAGCCCUUGACAUCCUGGGAAUCUCUAAGAGAUUAGAGAGUGCCUUCGGGAAUCCAGAGACAGGUGCUGCAUGGCUGUCGUCAGCUCGUGUCGUGAGAUGUUGGGUUAAGUCCCGCAACGAGCGCAACCCUUAUUUUUAGUUGCCUUAUGGAACUCUAAAAAGACCUGCCGGUCAUAAACCGGAGGAAGGCGGGGAUGACGUCAAGUCAGCAUGCCCCUUACACCCUUGGGCUACACACGUGCUACAAUGGGCGAGACAAUGAGAUGCAAGCCUGCGAAGGUUAGCUAAUCUAUAAACUCGUUCUAAGUUCGGAUUGUAGGCUGCAACUCG
RNAcentral lists this ribosomal RNA (517 nucleotides) under uncultured bacterium. RNAcentral's name for it is "bacterial SSU rRNA". It matches the Rfam family "Bacterial small subunit ribosomal RNA", at positions 791 to 1314 of the family's 1533-position model. The record is from RNAcentral.